RNAcentral lists this ribosomal RNA (353 nucleotides) under uncultured bacterium. RNAcentral describes it as "bacterial SSU rRNA". It matches the Rfam family "Bacterial small subunit ribosomal RNA", at positions 976 to 1326 of the family's 1533-position model. The record is from RNAcentral.
UGGGUUGGAAACCUUCCGAAUCCUCCAGAGAUGGAGGAGCGCCCUUCGGGGAAUGGGAUGUUCAGGUGCUGCAUGGCUGUCGUCAGCUCGUGUCGUGAGAUGUUGGGUUAAGUCCCGCAACGAGCGCAACCCUUGUCUUUAGUUGCCAUCAGUUAGGCUGGGCACUCUAGAGAGACUGCCGGUGUUAAACCGGAGGAAGGUGGGGAUGACGUCAAGUCCUCAUGGCCCCUAUGUCCAGGGCUACACACGUGCUACAAUGGCGGCCACAAAGGGCAGCAACAUCGCGAGAUGAAGCCAAUCCCAAAAAAGCCGCCUCAGUUCGGAUUGGAGUCUGCAACUCGACUCCAUGAAGC